GGUCUAUAUUUUUUAUAUGGAUUGUAGAUCAAUCCAUAUGUGUAUGUGCUGGUCUCAUCCUUCACAAUUUAUAUUUUUGUGCAAAUGAACUUCUCCUUCUGACCAGUAACUACCUUCUUUCGUGCUCUGAACCUCUGACUCCUGAGGUCAAGGGCUGGAGGGUUUCUUCCUCCAGGUCUUGCAGCCAGGAGCAGGAGUGUGGGGCUCAGGAAAAAGUGCUAAGUGGCGGCAAAGUUUUUAUGUAUUAGAGAAGUUCUUAAAACUCAGAAAAAAAAUACUUUUUUUUAAUAAAGGAGAUAUUUUAAGAUCC
RNAcentral lists this long non-coding RNA (310 nucleotides) under Mus musculus (house mouse). RNAcentral describes it as "long non-coding RNA chr1:170682477-170682787". The record is from RNAcentral. Lineage: Eukaryota; Metazoa; Chordata; Mammalia; Rodentia; Muridae.